ACCUGGCAAUAUCAUGGUCAAAGAAUUAUCUCUUUGUGAAUUACAUCAAGUUCUUCCAAAGAGAAGAUUCUUCCACCUCAACAUUCUGAUGACUCACUCUAUUAGUAGAGUAAGUUUUUUUCCAUCAUUUUCCCUUCACUUUGCCUAUUUUACAACAUUAAGGGCAGGGCUACACUUGUCAUUGAUUGUUGUUCCGUGAGUCUCACCAUUAUUGUCUUUAUUUACACACAAUUCUUAAAGUCAAAGAAGAUAUGUAGAAAGAAAUUUUGUGUCCAAGUGGUAGAUAUGUAGAAAGAAAAUCCUCAACAUAUCAUCGCAUUGGUUCCACAUUUUUGCUUUUCCAAGAUUUCAACUUCACCGGUUCAUUCUGCUCAUUGCUCCUUAAAUUUGAAAUCCAAUUCCUCUCUUGAAAUAAAGUAGAAGCAGCAUGUCUCUAAUAAUAGUUAUGUACAAUGAACUAUGAAGUAAUAGAGAUUUUUAUCGAAUAGUAAUAUAUCAACGAAUCAUUAAGCAAAAUUUAUCACGAAGCUCUCAGAAAUGUCAUAUAACCCCCACCUGCACCCUCAAGAGUGUACAGUACAGUAGAAGUAUAAGCACUCUCAUGACUUCAAACAAAUAAAGAUUCCACCCUGUUUUAUACAUUGGCAUCAUUAGAUAAACCAAUAAAACAACUAAUACUAAUUGUCAUCAGCAAUUUUAUUUAUUUUUUUGUAGCCAAAAUAUUGACUUCAGAAUUUGAGUCUUAAACUUUUGACAGUUCACCAUCACUAAAAUAGGCCAACAGAUUGGUCUCUAGUGAUAACCAAUUGGAGCAGCAGCCUCCCGUAGCUCUCGUCCUUGGUAAUGUAUAUCCUGCAAUUCAUUCCAGCAAAAUACAAUCAGUACUCUUGAAUCCCAUUCAUACUCACAUGAAGGUUCUAAGAUUUUUUCCAUUACAAAAAAGAAUAUGAAAAGAAAUUGAAAGCUCUCUAUUACCAUGAUUUUGAAUGUAUAAAGACUUAAUUAUGUCACAGUUCAAGAAAUGUGUACUUUAUACACUCUGAAUCAUAAUAAAUCGGGUACAUUAUGUUAGGAAAAAUAAAAAGACAGAUCAUGGACAUGCGUCUAGCUGCCUCUUGAAUUUGUAGGUAAAUCUUGCCUUAGCACACAAGAUUGGCAUGGUUGACAUAAAACCAAACGCACCAUUAGUUUUUGUUGAAAAACUGAUAGGAUAACCUUUACAUUGAGAGGAUAACCUUACACAUGUUUACUUGAUCAUUUUUUUAUUAUUGAUUUACAGAUAAAUAAAUAGAUAGAUUGAGUGAAACAAAGGGAUAGACAACAUACCGAAGCAAAAUGGUUAACAUCGCGAUGAUGUGCUUCAUCAGCUCUGACAACCUCUACAACAUCCCUUAAAGUAGAGUUUUGGGGAAGCUGCCAAUAGUCAAUAGCAAUAGCUGGAGCAGGAACGUUUUCGAUGUUGCCUUUAUCAAGUUCCUUGAGAAACUCAGUGUAUGAGUGAAUAGCUUCCUCCUCAAGGUAACCAACCAUACGGUGUGCAAAUUUUGGUGAGAGCAAAUAGCCUAAGAAAUAAGCAUUGAAGAAAACACCUUGGACAGUUAUGACCAGAGCACGUUCAUACCACUUUGGUUUUGCCACUUCCAUGAAAGUCAUUAGAUGCAUGCGCUCGUUCUCGGCUUCUUCUAGCAAUGCUUUGAUCCAUCCACCACUUUGCUCAAAUCGGCGCAAUGAUUUGCAGUGAAGCAGCAUUCCUCCUACCAUCCCAGGGACAGCAGCUACUGUCUCAAGCAUCAUUGCUCGGCAUCCAUACCUUCUCUG
This 1818-nucleotide long non-coding RNA is filed under the name Medicago truncatula (barrel medic). Its description in RNAcentral is "lncRNA gene29713". The record is from RNAcentral. Lineage: Eukaryota; Viridiplantae; Streptophyta; Magnoliopsida; Fabales; Fabaceae.